GAGGGUAUAGCUCAGUGGUAGAGUUGUGUGCCUGGCACGCAUGGGGUCCUGGGUUCAAUCCCCAGUACCUCCA
This 73-nucleotide transfer RNA is filed under the name Camelus bactrianus (Bactrian camel). It matches the Rfam family "tRNA". Rfam says of the family: Transfer RNA (tRNA) molecules are approximately 80 nucleotides in length. RNAcentral also lists the same sequence under 2 other names. The record is from Rfam by way of RNAcentral. Lineage: Eukaryota; Metazoa; Chordata; Mammalia; Artiodactyla; Camelidae.